UAAGCCAUGCAUGUCUAAGUAUAAGCACUUGUACUGUGAAACUGCGAAUGGCUCAUUAAAUCAGUUAUCGUUUAUUUGAUUGUACCUUACUACAUGGAUACCUGUGGUAAUUCUAGAGCUAAUACAUGCGAAAAGUCCCGACUUCUGGAAGGGAUGUAUUUAUUAGAUUAAAAACCAAUGCGAGUCUUCGGGCUCGUUUUCUUGGUGAUUCAUGAUAACUUUUCGAAUCGCAUGGCCUAGAGCCGGCGAUAUUUCAUUCAAAUUUCUGCCCUAUCAACUGUCGAUGGUAAGGUAGUGGCUUACCAUGGUUAUAACGGGUGACGGAGAAUUAGGGUUCGAUUCCGGAGAGGGAGCCUGAGAAACGGCUACCACAUCUAAGGAAGGCAGCAGGCUCGAAAAUUACCCAAUCCCGACUCGGGGAGGUAGUGACAAGAAAUAACGAUACGGGGUCUUAAUAGGUCUCGCAAUUGGAAUGAGUACAAUUUAAAUCCUUUAACGAGGAUCAAUUGGAGGGCAAGUCUGGUGCCAGCAGCCGCGGUAAUUCCAGCUCCAAUAGCGUAUAUUAAAGUUGUUGCAGUUAAAAAGCUCGUAGUUGGAUUUCUGUUGAGGACGACCGGUCCGCCCUCUGGGUGAGCAUCUGGCUCGGCCUUGGCAUCUUCUUGGUGAACGUAGCUGCACUUGACUGUGUGGUACGGUAACCAGGACUUUUACUUUGAGGAAAUUAGAAUGUUUCAAGCAGGCAUACGCCUUGAAUACAUUAGCAUGGAAUAAUAAGAUAGGACCUCGGUUCUAUUUUGUUGGUUUCUAGAGCUGAGGUAAUGAUUAAUAGGGAUAGUUGGGGGCAUUCGUAUUUAACUGUCAGAGGUGAAAUUCUUGGAUUUGUUAAAGACGAACUACUGCGAAAGCAUUUGCCAAGGAUGUUUUCAUUGAUCAGAACGAAAGUUAGGGGAUCGAGAC
RNAcentral lists this ribosomal RNA (957 nucleotides) under uncultured eukaryote. Its description in RNAcentral is "SSU rRNA". It matches the Rfam family "Eukaryotic small subunit ribosomal RNA", at positions 45 to 1005 of the family's 1831-position model. The record is from RNAcentral.